Molecule: ribosomal RNA, 1077 nt
Filed under: Triticum aestivum (bread wheat)
Lineage: Eukaryota; Viridiplantae; Streptophyta; Magnoliopsida; Poales; Poaceae
Description: partial small subunit ribosomal RNA
Source: RNAcentral
AUGCAAUUAUUCAACGAUUGGAUCACGGAGCUGGGGCUCCGCGAGCUUGACCGUACAGGUGCCAGGUUCACUUGGACCAACCGGCAAUCUGUCCCGACACAAUCCGUGCUAGAUUGUGUCCUAGUGUCCCCGGAGUGGGAAUUGCGUUGCCCCUUGGCAUCGCUCCGGGCGGUCACCUGGAUUGGCUCCGAUCAUGUCCCCCUUCUCCUAUCCACCGCCGACGAGCGCCCCCCCUCCCCGCCGCGGUUCCGGUUCGAGCUCUUCUGGCUCAACCGAACCGGCUUCCGGGAGGCCGUCGUCGCCCGCUGGAUUUCCGCUAGGUCGGUGCCCCAUCGCUCCAUGUCCGCUGUCGACUCAUGGCACUUUUGUGCCAAGCUUGCCCGCCAGUUCAUGAAGGGUUGGGGGGCUAACCUUGGCCGGGACCUUAGAGAGCGCAAGAAGACCAUCCUGGUUGCUAUUCAAGCCCUGGAUGCUCGCGCGGACUCGACCGGGCUCUCCUCGGAUGAGUGGAUGCUACGUUACGACCUGGAGGACCAGCUCUCCACCAUCUACACGGAUGAGGAGGCCUACUGGCGCUUGCGUGGUACCCAGAGGUGGGUGCUACAGGGCGAUGCCAACACCGCCUAUUUCCAGGCGGUCGCGAACGGCCGGCGCCGUCGCAACUCCAUCCACUGCCUGUGGGAUGGAGACUCGCCAUUAGUUCUCCCCGCGGCCAUCCGCUCUCAUGUGGAUGGCUUCUAUCGAGCCUUAUUUACCCCCACCCCGCGGGGUGGGGCUAGUCUCGCCCCCGACAUUUGGUCGGGCGCGCACGUAGUCUCGGAUGAAGCCAAUGUGGCUUUGGUUGCCCCCUUUAGCGAGGACGAGGUCCUCGCUGCCAUUAAGGGGAUGAACCCCUCCUCGGCCCCGGGACCGGACGGUCUACCAGUGUCUUUCUUCAAGAUGUUCUGGCCUACCAUCAAGCUUGAGGUCAUGGCUCUCUUUGAGGAAUUCUACUCGGGCUCCAUGGACCUGGGGCGCCUUAAUUAUGGGGUUGUGACCCUCAUCCCCAAGGUCCCAGGCGCCUCCGAUAUUCGCUAG